GUGCACCAGUCGCGAAUCCUUCGCAAUGCAGGAAACUGCGACGAGGGAACUCCAAGUGCCUACGCUCAGCGUAGGCUGUUCUCAAGCCUAGAAAGCUUGAGGAGUAAGGGCUGGGUAAGACGGGUGCCAUCUGUGGUAGCAGUCAAUAGAUUCGAUUUGUUACUGCAAGGCAUAAGCGGCGCGGUAAUACCCGCAGCCCAAGUGGUGGCCGCUUUUUAGUUGGGCCUAAAGCGUCCGUAGCCGGCCCGG
Molecule: ribosomal RNA, 249 nt
Filed under: uncultured microorganism
Description: partial 16S ribosomal RNA
Rfam family: Archaeal small subunit ribosomal RNA
Source: RNAcentral